This 1885-nucleotide long non-coding RNA is filed under the name Sus scrofa (pig). RNAcentral's name for it is "lncRNA (ENSSSCG00035065269.1)". Lineage: Eukaryota; Metazoa; Chordata; Mammalia; Artiodactyla; Suidae. The record is from RNAcentral.
GAUCGAACCUAAAACCUCACAGUUCCUAGUCGGAUUUGUUUCCGCUGCACUACGACAGGAACUCCUGAGUCUAUUUAAAUUGUCUGGACUGUGCAGCCUCCAGAUGUUGCCCCUUGGAAACUUUCCAUCAGGGGUUGAGAGGUAAUCUUUGUGUGCAUCUUGCUUCCCACUGGUUGUCCUUAACUGAUGCUCUGCAUUGAGUUAACGCUCUGCGUCUGUGCAGGCUUCAGUCCCGGAGCACUUCUGUUUUGGAUGAGAUGACUCUUGAGCCUUCCAUUUUGCUUAGCCGUAAAAAAAAAAAAAAAAAAAAAAAAAAAUGGUAAAAUGGAUUUCCAUCCGUUCAUUAGCAUACUGAUCCAACUAUAUCUUACCCAAAAGAAAUUUCUUGGAAUGAAAAAUAAGAACAAGUGUUAAAGAUAGCUCAGUCUUUCCUCUUCCGUGGGUCUCCAUGGAGCCUCUACUAUACUUGCGAUAUUGGCGUGUAAAAAUCAGACAGAUGUGAGAAAGAGGACCUGAUGCGCAGAGUUAAUCCAUGAGUCCUCUUCAGAUCUCUUUGAGGAAAGAACCCUUAAUGCAAUAAAAAUGGCAUCUUUGAGGAAAAGCAGAUUAUCUUGUCUGAUAAGGCUGCCUUUUUCUCAUUAUGUUAAUGUUGCUCUGAUAAUCCAUUUUAAAGUGUUUUUAAUUUAAAAGAAAAAAUCCCAAGAGAAGGCUUAGGCCGAAAAACAGGGCGUGAUAAUGCUUGGAAAGUGCAGUGGAGGAACUACCUGAAAAUCCACAUGACAGCACAGAGGGUCUCACUGUAAAGGUGAAAUUGGGUCCAAAUUUAGUGAAAAGAAAGAUUCAGCCCCUUUCUCCUUUCUUCCUAUAAUUCAGUCUAAGUGGUAAUUGAUAGAGCAUGUUUAAAUUUCCAACAAAUUUCUUGGAAAGAAGGGCAGUGACUAUUAAAGUGUCUAAAAUUCAAACUAGGUGUGGGGAUCGAACCCGCAACCUCAUGGUUCCUAGUCGGAUUCAUUAACCACUGAGCCAUGAUGGGAACCCCAGAAAUUGAAUUAUUUUUGAAAUAAAUUUUCUUUAAAAAUUGAUAAAUUAUUCCAGUUAGCAAAGUGGUUAAUAUUGGUGGCUUUUAGGCUGGAGUUUUCUUUUUUCUUUCUUUUUUUUUUUUUUAAGGCCAAACCCGCAGCAUGUGGAAGUUCCUAGGCUAGGGGUCGGAUCGGAGCUGUAGCUGCUGGUCUACACCACAGCCACAGCCACAGCCACAGCCCUAGCCAGCACCACAGCUCACAGCAACACUGGAUCCUUAACCCACAUAACGUGGCCAGGAAUCAAACCUGCAUCCUCAUGAAUACUAGUCACAUUUCCGUAGAGCCACAAUGGGAACUCUUGGAGUUUUCAAUUAGGAUAGCUUUUAGGCCAGGAGCCUGCCAGAUGAAUAAGAAAGGGUAAGAGCUUCUCCCCCAAAUUGACUGGGGCUGUGGCCAAAAUGUAACAGGAUAUGCCUUUGGUUCAUGCCCUCUUGCAAAAAUGUCUCUACAGACAGAACUUUAGGAAAACUUUUUUUCCAUUCUUCUUUUUAAAUUGUCCCCUUGGAGGCUUCUGAGAUGCUUAAUUCAGUGGUCCCCAAAUUUGCUGCCCAUUGGAAUCAUCUAGGCAUGUUUAAAAGCUAAGUUCUGGCUCCCAUCUCCCGAUAUUGUAAUUUACCAGGUAUGAGCUGCAGCUCAGGCAUGGGGAGUGGUUUUGUUCAUCCUUUUUUUUUCUUUUCUUUUUUUGCCAAACCCACAACCUACAGAGGUCCUUGGGCCAGGGAUGAAACCCAUACCACAGCAGCAACCCGAGAUGUUGCAGUGAUAGUGCCAGGUUCUUAACCUGCUGUACCACAAGGAAACUC